This 426-nucleotide ribosomal RNA is filed under the name uncultured bacterium. RNAcentral's name for it is "bacterial SSU rRNA". It matches the Rfam family "Bacterial small subunit ribosomal RNA", at positions 354 to 796 of the family's 1533-position model. The record is from RNAcentral.
GUGGGGAAUAUUGCACAAUGGGGGAAACCCUGAUGCAGCGACGCCGCGUGAGCGAAGAAGUAUUUCGGUAUGUAAAGCUCUAUCAGCAGGGAAGAAGAAUGACGGUACCUGACUAAGAAGCACCGGCUAAAUACGUGCCAGCAGCCGCGGUAAUACGUAUGGUGCAAGCGUUAUCCGGAUUUACUGGGUGUAAAGGGAGCGCAGGCGGUGCGGCAAGUCUGAUGUGAAAGCCCGGGGCUCAACCCCGGUACUGCAUUGGAAACUGUCGUACUAGAGUGUCGGAGGGGUAAGUGGAAUUCCUAGUGUAGCGGUGAAAUGCGUAGAUAUUAGGAGGAACACCAGUGGCGAAGGCGGCUUACUGGACGAUAACUGACGCUGAGGCUCGAAAGCGUGGGGAGCAAACAGGAUUAGAUACCCCAGUAGUCC